AGCACGGGAGCUUGCUCCUGGUGGCGAGUGGCGAACGGGUGAGUAAUGCGUCGGAACGUACCGAGUAAUGGGGGAUAACGCAGCGAAAGCUGUGCUAAUACCGCAUACGCCCUGAGGGGGAAAGUGGGGGAUCGCAAGACCUCACGUUAUUCGAGCAGCCGACGUCUGAUUAGCUAGUUGGUGGGGUAAUGGCCUACCAAGGCGACGAUCAGUAGCGGGUCUGAGAGGAUGAUCCGCCACACUGGAACUGAGACACGGUCCAGACUCCUACGGGAGGCAGCAGUGGGGAAUUUUGGACAAUGGGGGCAACCCUGAUCCAGCCAUUCCGCGUGAGUGAAGAAGGCCUUCGGGUUGUAAAGCUCUUUCAGCUGGAACGAAACGGUACGCUCUAACAUAGCGUGCUAAUGACGGUACCGGCAGAAGAAGCACCGGCUAACUACGUGCCAGCAGCCGCGGUAAUACGUAGGGUGCGAGCGUUAAUCGGAAUUACUGGGCGUAAAGCGUGCGCAGGCGGAUUGUUAAGCAAGAUGUGAAAUCCCCGGGCUUAACCUGGGAAUGGCAUUUUGAACUGGCAGUCUAGAGUGCGUCAGAGGGGGGUGGAAUUCCACGUGUAGCAGUGAAAUGCGUAGAGAUGUGGAGGAACACCAAUGGCGAAGGCAGCCCCCUGGGAUGACACUGACGCUCAUGUACGAAAGCGUGGGUAGCAAACAGGAUUAGAUACCCUGGUAGUCCACGCCCUAAACGAUGUCAACUGGUUGUUGGGGGAGUGAAAUCCCUUAGUAACGAAGCUAACGCGUGAAGUUGACCGCCUGGGGAG
This 817-nucleotide ribosomal RNA is filed under the name uncultured bacterium. Its description in RNAcentral is "bacterial SSU rRNA". It matches the Rfam family "Bacterial small subunit ribosomal RNA", at positions 68 to 880 of the family's 1533-position model. The record is from RNAcentral.